GGCGGCGUGCUUAACACAUGCAAGUCGAACGGACCGAUUAGACAGCUUGCUGUUUAUGAAGGCUAGUGGCGGACGGGUGAGUAACGCGUGGGUAACCUGCCUCACACAGGGGGAUCAACAGUUGGAAACGACUGUUAAUACCGCAUAAGCGCACGAUGUCGCAUGACAUAGUGUGAAAAACUCCGGUGGUGUGAGAUGGACCCGCGUCUGAUUAGCUAGUUGGUGAGGUAACGGCCCACCAAGGCGACGAUCAGUAGCCGGCCUGAGAGGGUGUACGGCCACAUUGGGACUGAGACACGGCCCAAACUCCUACGGGAGGCAGCAGUGGGGAAUAUUGGACAAUGGGGGAAACCCUGAUCCAUGCGACGCCGCGUGAGUGAUGAAGUAUCUCGGUAUGUAAAGCUCUAUCAGCAGGGAAGAUAAUGACGGUACCUGACUAAGAAGCACCGGCUAAAUACGUGCCAGCAGCCGCGGUAAUACGUAUGGUGCAAGCGUUAUCCGGAUUUACUGGGUGUAAAGGGUGCGUAGGUGGUAUGGCAAGUCAGAUGUGAAAACUAUGGGCUCAACCCAUAGAUUGCAUUUGAAACUGUCAAACUGGAGUGCAGGAGAGGAAAGUGGAAUUCCUAGUGUAGCGGUGAAAUGCGUAGAUAUUAGGAGGAACACCAGUGGCGAAGGCGGCUUUCUGGACUGUUACUGACACUGAGGCACGAAAGCGUGGGGAGCAAACAGGAUUAGAUACCCUGGUAGUCCACGCCGUAAACGAAGAAUACUAGGUGUUGGGGAGUUAAAUCCCCCGGUGCC
RNAcentral lists this ribosomal RNA (801 nucleotides) under uncultured bacterium. RNAcentral describes it as "bacterial SSU rRNA". It matches the Rfam family "Bacterial small subunit ribosomal RNA", at positions 38 to 847 of the family's 1533-position model. The record is from RNAcentral.